Molecule: long non-coding RNA, 3463 nt
Organism: Cygnus olor (mute swan)
Lineage: Eukaryota; Metazoa; Chordata; Aves; Anseriformes; Anatidae
Exons: 2
Source: RefSeq, a predicted model, not a curated record
GCCGGGGCGACGCGGGCGCCAUGUUACAGAGGCGGGGAGGGGAGCACCGUCCUGCCUCGGCGCUCGUUGAGUUUAUCCUGCUGGCGGCGCCUGGGUGCCCACGCAGUGCAAGGACGGCGGGACAGGGCCCUACGGCGGGAGGGCGUGGGGGGAGUCCGGGUACUGUGGCCGGGGGUAAGCGGCACAGAAAGGCCGGGCGCGUCCGGGUUAGCCGUGGUGUGCGGUGCAUAUGCACGCACAGCGCAGUCAAUGCGUGGCCGCGCAUCCCGUACCGUCCAUUCCUGGGUCUUGCUUCCUUCUGUAUGGUCAUGUAUGAUAAUUUCGUGUGGGUAUUACAAAACGUAAUUUAAUAUUAAGGAGCCAAGACAGGAGGGGAUGUCUUCAGAAUUUGGAAAUGUGCAUGAUUAUACAGACUUCAGUAACAUCCUUGUGGGAUAUUUUUCAGGAGCUUAUUUCACUCAAUGCAAAAGGAUGGAGAGAGUUCCAGCUGAGGAGGUAACCAGUAAAUACAGCUUUUAAUCAUCCUUCACUGUGUUGCCCAGGGCCUUAUUCACCACACGCCACUUAAGCACCACACUGAAUGGAGUUUAAUUAACUUCCAUGUAGAUGUUGCUGUGCUAUUCAUCAGUAUACUACUGGAAUGCUUAACAAACACCAAUUAAAUUCUAAGUACUCAAUUGGGCUGUGAUGGUGUGAUUAUCUCUAUUUUGGAGGAAAGGAACUGGAGCAGGAAUAUUCUAUUUACAAUGCCCCACUUAUUUUGAGUGCUUAGCUGACGACUUCAAGAAUCACAGCUUUUAGGGAUACAAGGAAUGCAGGAUGGAUGGCCACCUAUAAAACAAUCUUAACUCUGUAGUUUCAUAUCUGUCAGUGAUUUCAGCUACAAGUAGAUGCUUUCCAGCAGCACAUCAUGUGAGUAAUCCCUGUUUUGUCUUGCUGUUUUCCUCUUCUCUUUGGUAUAAUUGUGUAUGUCUUGGAAUAUUUUCCUUUGAUAAAGUUUUUAUGUUGUUCUUGUUUUCAGUGUGUAGGUUGCUAUCUUUGUUAGAAAAGGCAAGAUCAAAUAAAUGUUUUGAAAUACAAGUAAGCCUAAGCAAAUUUGCUCUCUGAUGGAAAGUAUUGUUGUGCCAUUGGGAUGGUUAUGACAGUCUCCAUCAAAAUGUAGAACUUCAGGUGAUCUUUGUAUUUUCCAUAUGCAUGCCCUGGAGGUAAGAAGCACAACUUAGAACUUAUCCAAACGUGCUUAUCCAAAGAAGCCAUUGUAAGGAGUACUUGGUCAGUUUGAUGCUCUUGUGGUUAACACAUUGCUGAGGAAAUACUCUGCUGUAUUCUGUAAAGUUAAAGCGUGAUUGGUUAAUGCAGUUGUUCAAAAGCAUGAAUAACUGUGGUCAUCAUCCACUGGGAUAAGAUUGAAUCUUCUAGAUAAUCAAAGACAGGUGAAUGUAUUAGUUGUUACUGUUAUCUGAGUAUAGAUUAAGAAAGAAAUCAUAGAAUAAUUUUGGUUUGAAAGGUGUCAUUGGAGACAUAUAGUCCAGCAUCCCCAUUCAAUUCAAAAUCCAUUAGAUCAUGUUAUUUAGUAGUAUUUUCUGUGGUUUUUUUUUUUAGUAUCUCCAAAGACAGUGAUCCCACAGCUUCAUUCAGUUCCUAUUCCUAAGCUUGACCACCAUCAUGGUGAUUUGCUUUUUCUAACAUUUAAUUGAAUUUUUUUAUUGCAGCUGAUGCCUGUGAGUCUGAUAAUAUGUCUGAACUACACACCGACUGCUCCAAUUGUGUGUACCUUCAGCCAAAGAAAGGUUCUGCUUUGACCAGCUGGUUUUCAUCCAUGAGCUGAUCUGAACCUUCUGUGCUGUCUUGAUGAUGUAGGCAGGUUGUGCCAAGAGAUGCACAGGGCUGUGUGCCAUUUGUAAGCUGCUUGGCUUUGAGUCCAUGUCAUCUGGCAUUUUCCCUAAUGGCAAAGAAAACUAACAUUGUAAGUGAAGAGUCUGUUGCAAAGAUGAAGCUGAUUCCUUCCCUGAGUGAAGUUACCAGAACUCCAGUUCUAAUACGGCAUCUUUAAGAAGUGAAGAAGGAUGUUUGUGAGAUUCACAGACAGGAGUACAGCCUGGAGUGUGCUUCCUGAAUUACCUAAUACUCUGUCGACAAUGCUAAAGAAGCAGUUUUAGCACGUUUGUUGUGAAGAAAUUUCAAGGUUCUUUCAUAUCUAUUCAUUAGUCUAAGAAAUUACAUUGUCUCCUUUUUUUAAGUGAAUAGUUUAAGAUACAAUCCUGUCUUUAUUUGUCCUUCCAUUUAAUUUGAACUGAAACAACAUUCAAAAGGAGGUUAUUUUUUUUAAGGUCAGAGGUUGUUUUCAUGUUAUCUUUUAGAUAAUAUAUCUUUCCUACUGUCAGGAAACUUUGAGGCCCAAAAAAGUGAUGAUACUGCCAAUAGUGUCUGGUAAUGAUAUAUGUAUUUAAAGCAGAAUUUAUUUGACUCAACAUUGGUGAUUACUAUGUAGGUGUCCACAACACAGCAAGUUACCCAUGAUCAUUUUAUAGUCUUUGGAGGGCUUGUUACUAUGUCAAUGGAGCCUAGGAUGCAAUUCAGACCUUCGAAAACAGAGAGGUGAACUGCAGCUAAACCCCACUGAGUACAGAGGGAGAUGGAUCAGCUACCUUAGAUAGAAACACCUAAAUUUAGAUGGGAUAAGUAGCACUUCUAAUCUGAAGAUGAGAUUUAGGUUGAGUUGAACCAAAGAUGACUGUAAGGAAAGCAAGUUUCAUUUAGUUUAGGUCUUUUUCCUGUAUGAUACUAAAACAUGAAUUUUCAAAUCCCCCUGAAGGUCAAAUCAAGAUUGGUUCGCAAUUUUUUUUUUGUGAUUGUUUCACAAAAAUUUUCAACAAGGUUUCAGUGUGUGGCUUUACAAACCUUUUAUUCCUUAAAUAAUAAUUAUUUGUAAUAAAGUUUAAAAUUAUCUGUAAAGGAAUGUAAAAUCCACAUAAACUCUGUCUCUAGUUUCUACCAGCAAGCAAGAUCCCAUUUGAAGUAUUCUUCUUGGGUACCGUAUUUGAGGUGAAUGUCAGUGUAGUGGCACUUGCCUUCAUAGCGCUUAUGGCCAGAAAAAACUAUCACUCUUCUGCUUCAGUCUCCUAUGUUAUAACGUACAUAGAAUUUAGUCUUCUGCAUUGAGUCUAGUAACCUAUAUUUGACUUAAAUAUUUGUCAGUAAUGCAACUAAAAUAAACACAUCACCUUUCAGUCUUCUCUUCAGUAAAUUAAAUAAACAACAUUUUAAAAUAUCUUCUCCCAUCCUUUAAACUGUAUUUACUGAACUUUUUUCUUCUAGCUUAAAAAUCUGACUAUCAAACUGUACAGAUACUUUUAUCGUCAGGCUCACUACUGCUGUAUACACAAAUGAAUCAGCAACGUUAUGUUAUCAUUAUCAGCUCUUCCAAGUUUUCUGAACUUUAAAUAGGUUUGACGUUUCCUGA